RNAcentral lists this transfer RNA (80 nucleotides) under Datura stramonium (jimsonweed). RNAcentral's name for it is "tRNA-Ile". It matches the Rfam family "tRNA". Rfam says of the family: Transfer RNA (tRNA) molecules are approximately 80 nucleotides in length. Their secondary structure includes four short double-helical elements and three loops (D, anti-codon, and T loops). The record is from RNAcentral. Lineage: Eukaryota; Viridiplantae; Streptophyta; Magnoliopsida; Solanales; Solanaceae.
GCUGCUAUGGUGAAAUUGGUAGACACGCCGCUCUUAUGAAGUAGUGCUAAUGUAUCUCGGUUCGAGUCCGAGUAGCGGCA